This 519-nucleotide ribosomal RNA is filed under the name uncultured bacterium. RNAcentral's name for it is "bacterial SSU rRNA". It matches the Rfam family "Bacterial small subunit ribosomal RNA", at positions 27 to 518 of the family's 1533-position model. The record is from RNAcentral.
GGACGAACGCUGGCGGCGUGCCUAAUACAUGCAAGUCGAACGGUCUUUCUAUGGAAGCUUGCUUCCACUGAGAAGAUAGUGGCGAACGGGUGAGUAACACGUGGGUAACCUGCCCAUAAGAGGGGGAUAACAUCCGGAAACGGGUGCUAAUACCGCAUAGUUUUCUUGAUCGCAUGAUCGGGAAAGGAAAGACGGCCUUUGUGCUGUCGCUUAUGGAUGGACCCGCGGCGUAUUAGUUAGUUGGUGAGGUAACGGCUCACCAAGACGAUGAUACGUAGCCGACCUGAGAGGGUGAUCGGCCACAUUGGGACUGAGACACGGCCCAAACUCCUACGGGAGGCAGCAGUAGGGAAUCUUCCGCAAUGGACGAAAGUCUGACGGAGCAACGCCGCGUGAGUGAAGAAAAGGUUUUCGGAUCGUAAAACUCUGUUGUCAGAGAAGAACAAGUUGGAGAGUAACUGCUCCAGCCUUGACGGUAUCUGACCAGAAAGCCACGGCUAACUACGUGCCAGCAGCCGC